UGGAGCAAUGUACUACACACAGCAUUAAGACAUAUUUUGACUGUUAGGCUUGAUGGGGUAGUGUUCUUGUCUGUAAUUUUGCAGCUUUUGUACCAACAUGUCUGCUUGUUGGGUAUGCUGCUACCGUUUUACUCUGCAGCUGAUGAAGUUUUCUUCUCAUUUGUGUAGGUUGCACAGAGCAUUGAGGAUCACCAUCAAGAAGUGAUUGGUUUCUGCAGAGAGAAUGGUUUCCAUGGCUUGGUGGCAUAUGACUCUGAUUAUGCACUGUGCAACAUCCCCUACUACUUCAGUGCCCAUGCCCUGAAACUGAGCCGCAAUGGGAAAAGUCUCACGACAAGCCAAUAUCUGAUGCAUGAAGUUGCCAAGCAACUGGACCUGAACCCAAAUCGUUUUCCUAUUUUUGCUGCUCUGUUAGGAAAUCACAUACUACCUGAUGAAGAUCUGGCUUCCUUCCAUUGGAGUUUACUUGGUCCAGAACACCCACUAGCCUCACUGAAGGUCCGGGCCCACCAGUUGGUCUUGCCACCCUGCGAUGUAGUGAUCAAAGCUGUAGCUGACUAUGUUCGCAAUAUUCAGGACACCUCUGAUCUGGAUGCCAUAGCUAAAGAUGUUUUCCAACAUUCACAGUCUAGAACAGAUGACAAAGUUAUUCGAUUUAAGAGAGCAAUUGGAUAUUACUCAGCGACUAGUAAGCCUAUGUCAUUUCAUCCACCACAUUACUUAGAAGUUUAAGGCCAAGGUUGAGAAGUGUCCCUAAAAGCUGCCCUGGAUUGUGAUAGGAUUCCUUCAUGGAUUCAGAUGCAGUACCAGCUAUGUACCAGGCACACGGGACACAUAUUGGAGACAUGCUGGCGUGGUAUGACUGUAUGUGCAGGUGGGAAGGGGUAAGUCAGUGUGGCCUGUUAGAUGCUGUGACUGAAGGAGGAAGGGCAGGAGGGCCAGGCCUUCCCAGCCUGCUCCACUUGCCCCAGUCUCCCUGUUGACAGCAUAGACAGCCACAGCUCCCUGGUGGGGCACUCUGCUUUACUCAGUUGUAUAUUUUCCUCACAGCAGCCAGAGUAAUGCUUAAAAAUGUGAGUCAGACUAUGCUUAAGCCCCCCACUGGCUUCCCAUCACUCUUGGAAUAAACUCCCAGCUCCUUACCCCACCUGCCCCUGACCCAGCUGCUCCUCCUGACAUUCUGCUCUUCUUACCUGAGGCCCAGCCUUCUUUUUCUGUCUUGAAUGAACCAGGUUGGCUUUUGCUUGGGGCCUUUGCACCAGCUAGUACCUGGAGGGCUCUGUUUCCCUGGUCCUCUUGCGUUUGGGUCAUCUGAUGUUUGAGACCCAGGCAUGCAUGUUCCUUCUCUGAGGCCAGUAGGGGUUCUGUGUCAGUUCUGUAAUCAUAUGCACGUUCUUGCACACUUGUCGGCCUCUCCUCUUCACCCCUCCUACCCUAAGAAUAGGGGCUAAGGAAACCAGGACUCAUUUCGUAUCCCCAGUGGAUAAGUGAAUGAAAUUCACUAACCGUUUUUAAAUCUGGAGAAUGAAAUAAUAAGGUAUGUUUUGGGACAAGGUGCACAAAGCGUUGGAAAGAAAGAGACUAGAUAUGCACUGUUAUCUCAGGUAAGGUCUGUCUGCUAUAUGCCUUGCACACAAGGGAUGUUUAAUAGUUGCCUGUUCAAAUGAUGGAAAGCAUGAAGCCAACUCAAGGCCCUGUGGCCCACCUGACCCUACCACCUUUUGGCCUCAGGCUCCCUGAUUUAUUAGAAUGGCUCCACUAUAUGAGUCUUAAGAGAAAGCAUAGGUGAAGUGUGUUAGUGAAGUGCUUGUUCAAUAACAGAUAGUGUAAUUGGUAUAGGGCACUGAAUAAUUGGAUGGAUGGUGGAAUGUUGAAAUGUUAGGAAGCCUGGAAAUUGCUCACAGAGGUGGGACAGACAUCCUCAGGGGUCUCUGUCAACAUUCUGUUCCUUUUGUGUAUCUGUUCUUAUCUUUUGCUACUAUAACAAAAUGCCUGAAGCUGAGUAACUUUAUAAAAAAAGGUUUACUAAGCUCUGUUCUGGAAAUUCAAGGACACAUCACUGGCAUCAGCUCUGCUCUAGUGAGGGCCCUGUGACAGAUGGAACUGCAGUGGCUGUAGUGAGAGAUCAUACCACAUAACAACAAGCCAGAGAGAGAUUAGGGUUCCAUAACAUAAUACGUUUUGAGAGUAGCACCCCUAUGACUUCCAAUAUGCCUCAUCUGUUUUUUUUUCUCCCCUGUACUGGGGUUUGAACUCAGGGCCUUAUGCUUGCUAGACAGGUAUUCUACCACUUGAGUCACAGCCCAAGUCCAAGCCCAUCUCUGGAAGGUUCCACCACUUUCUGUACCACUAAACUGAGGACCAAGCCGCUAGCAUGUGAAUCUUUGUCCUGUAGCAUAUGGGACUAUUUUGUGGUAGAUAGUUUAAGCAGUCAUUAUAGUAUACUUGGAACUGGAAUGUUUAUUCAAGAGGAAAGAAAAAAAACAGUGUCUAUCCUGAAUAUAUGCAGACUUCCCUGUUAUUGUUAUGUAAAGAUACAGUGUAACAACUAUUUACAUAGCAUUGACAUUGUUUGAGGGAUUACAAAUCAUGUAGAAAUGAUUUAAAGCAUUUAAGAGAAUAUGCAAACAGCAUGGCACUUCAUUUAAGAGGCUUGUGCGCCUGUGGAUUUUGGUGUCUGCUGGGUUCUUGGAACCAGCAGGGGACACUGAGGAAUGACUGCACACCUGACGUUUGGCAUUGACUUAGGCUAAUGAUGACCGUUUUGAAGACGUCUUGAAUAAACAAAGGUGAGUUUUAAAUAUGUCCUGCCAUGUCCUUAAUUAAUCAGUAAAGACAUUUUAGGUAAGUGCUUUGUAGAUGGAGUUACUCUAUUCAGUUUCAUUUUCUCUUUUGCGGCACAGAGGUUUGUGGAAGAAAGGUGUAAUUGAUAAAGAGUUUGGGAUGUUUAAUGCCCUGUCUUCAGGGAGGCUGAUGGAGCUGGGCUCAGACUUUGUAACCACUUCCAAGAGAACUACUAUGAAGUUACUUAGUCCCCUCCAGAACAGCACCCUCCGUUGACAAAGGACCACCUUCUAGGCCUGAUACUACCAUGAAACUUUCAGCACCACUACCUUUGGAGAGAUGGUCCAACAUCUGAGCCACAGAACUAUAUUUAAUAAAUAAGACAAAACAAAAAAAUCUUCCUGGCCUGGCAGUCUUGGUUGAUAUGGGUUUUUCUGUUUUGUGUUUUGUCAUGGUGGGAUGGAAGCCAGGGGCUUCUGCAUACUAGGCAUGCACUUACACUGAGCUACAGAUGUGGGGUAGUUUUGAAGGGUAAAACAGGAAUGAGUUCCAGUUCAUACUUCUGUUGUGCCACGGGUCCCAGGAAUCAUCUAUACUUAGAUUUUUAAUAGUAAGUACAGGUGCCUCGAGUACUUACUUUUCAAUCAUUCACUGUCAUAAACACUGUGCUAGUGCCUACUGCUUUGGGGAUAAUGGCGAUAUUUCCUUUCUGUCACAGCACACAGUCUGUGAUAGCUCACCAGGAAGCUACCAUUCCAAACACAGCACAAAUAAGACAGGCAGUUGAGUCUUCAGAAUAUGUGAUUUAAAUCACUAGCUUCAAAAUCAUUGGUGGAAAUUUUAUUUUACAAAUUGCAGCAAUUCCUGAGUAGUUGUGAUCCUAGCUACUCAGAAAGUGGUCAUCAAGAGGAUCAAAGUUCAAGGCCAGCCUAGGCAAAAAGUUAGCCAGACCCCAUCUGAACCAACAAGUGGGGCAUGGUGGGUGUGUCUGUUACACCAGCUACAUGGUAGAUGUAAACAAGAGGUAAAAAUGUGAAAUUCUACUAGAAAAAUAACUAAAGUAGAAAGGGCUGGAGGCAUGACUCCUUGCAAGCACAAGAUCCCGAGUUCAAAACCUAAUAUGGCCAAUAAAACAAACAAGUGACAAAUAAUGCAGGUGCUAGGGGCCCACACAUCUGUGGGCACAAGCCAGUCCUGGUGUAUGUUUUUAAAACUACACAAGUGAAGUCAAGGUCCAUUGAGAUUGUAGAAUCAUCCAUUCUUCUGGAUGGCCUUCUUGUGAAAAGUAAAUAAGCUCCCAAUACACACUUGUUUGAAUGGCUGAAAUAUAAGACCCUGGCAGCACCAGUGCUGGAGAAGAUGUGGGAUAGUAGGAGCCCCCUUUGCUGAUAAGAAUGCAAAAUGGCUCGAGACAGUU
Non-coding RNA from Castor canadensis (American beaver), 4201 nucleotides. Lineage: Eukaryota; Metazoa; Chordata; Mammalia; Rodentia; Castoridae. The record is from RefSeq and is a predicted model, not a curated record.